Molecule: ribosomal RNA, 108 nt
Filed under: Scophthalmus maximus (turbot)
Lineage: Eukaryota; Metazoa; Chordata; Actinopteri; Pleuronectiformes; Scophthalmidae
Source: RNAcentral
CUUACCGGCCACACCGCCUGGUAUACGCUUGAUCUCGGAAGAUAAGGUAGGUUGGGCCUGGUUAGUACUUGGAUGGGAGACCGCCUGGGAAUACCAGGUGCUGUAAGC